RNAcentral lists this ribosomal RNA (255 nucleotides) under uncultured bacterium. Its description in RNAcentral is "partial 16S ribosomal RNA". It matches the Rfam family "Bacterial small subunit ribosomal RNA", at positions 524 to 776 of the family's 1533-position model. The record is from RNAcentral.
GACGGAGGAUGCAAGCGUUAUCCGGAAUGAUUGGGCGUAAAGCGUCUGCAGGUGGCAGUUCAAGUCUGCUGUCAAAGACCGGGGCUUUAACUUCGGAAAGGCAGUGGAAACUGAACAGCUAGAGUAUGGUAGGGGCAGAGGGAAUUCCUGGUGUAGCGGUGAAAUGCGUAGAGAUCAGGAAGAACACCGGUGGCGAAAGCGCUCUGCUAGGCCGCAACUGACACUGAGGGACGAAAGCUAGGGGGAGCGAAUGGG